RNAcentral lists this small RNA (548 nucleotides) under Pongo abelii (Sumatran orangutan). RNAcentral describes it as "retained intron". The record is from RNAcentral. Lineage: Eukaryota; Metazoa; Chordata; Mammalia; Primates; Hominidae.
UCUGCUGCCACAUAUGCCUAGAAGACCAGCGGGGCCCCUCUCAUUAGGUGGGGCUGGGAGUCAGCUGGUGCACUGCCCCCUGCCUUGGUCCUGCUGAGUCUUGACCCCCAUGUCUUCAGGCCAGAGCCUGGGAACCUCUCAGAGAAGGUCUCUCACUUGGAGUCCAUGCUCAGGAAGCUGCAGGAGGACCUGCAGAAGGAGAAGGCGGACAGGGCGGCCCUGGAGGAGGAGGUGCGGAGCCUGAGACACAACAACCGGCGGCUACAGGCGGAGUCUGAGAGUGCAGCCACACGCCUGCUCCUGGCUUCCAAGCAGCUGGGCUCACCCACUGCCGACCUGGCCUGAGCCAUCUGGAACCACCUGGGCCCCUGAGGGCACCAUGGUCACACUGGGCCCUCCUCAGGAACUCUCCCUGCGCAGAGGCGCGUCUUAGCACUGCCCCCCUCCCUAGCCCCUUAUUUGGUGGCGCAAGUGGCCUCCACCCCUUCCCUGUUUGUAAAUAUUCUGUGGAGAAAAGAGGACUUCAGGGAGUAAAAAAGCCACUGCUG